RNAcentral lists this long non-coding RNA (380 nucleotides) under Elaeis guineensis (African oil palm). RNAcentral's name for it is "long non-coding RNA (EGUI_LNC059041)". The record is from RNAcentral. Lineage: Eukaryota; Viridiplantae; Streptophyta; Magnoliopsida; Arecales; Arecaceae.
CUCCAUGCCUCCUCUCAUUAUUUUCUUCCUUUCCAUGCCCAAAAGUUGGGUGCUCUCUCUUUCACACGCCUAGAAAAAAUUUUGGUGACUUAGAGAUCAAGGAUCGAGGAGAAGAAGAAGAAGACUAUAGAUCAAGGAGUUGAUCUCAUAGUUAAGAUCAAAAGAGUUGAUCAAAGUCUUCAAGGUCAAGAUUCUUCUUGAAAAGAAAAAUCUCAUACUAGAAGAAAAAGUUUGAGAUCGAUCCCAGUGGACAUUCGUAGAGGCCGGAUACAUGUGUGGCUUAACCUUCUAUGAAUCCGAGAUCAUCAAUAGUGGUGAAUUUUUCUCCGCAUUAAGGUAAUGAGAUCUGAUCUUAUAAGAUUUUUCUAAAUUUUAGAUUG